UGCAGGAUAAGCUAAAGAAAAAGCUGUUGGGCUCAUAACCCAAAAAUGAAUAUAAAUUCUCCUACAA
RNAcentral lists this transfer RNA (67 nucleotides) under Pseudocleopatra dartevellei. RNAcentral describes it as "tRNA-Met". The record is from RNAcentral. Lineage: Eukaryota; Metazoa; Mollusca; Gastropoda; Paludomidae.